RNAcentral lists this ribosomal RNA (435 nucleotides) under uncultured bacterium. Its description in RNAcentral is "bacterial SSU rRNA". It matches the Rfam family "Bacterial small subunit ribosomal RNA", at positions 29 to 507 of the family's 1533-position model. The record is from RNAcentral.
AACGAACGCUGGCGGCAGGCCUAACACAUGCAAGUCGAACGCGUGGCUUCGGCCACGAGUGGCGCACGGGUGAGUAGCACGUGGGAACCUACCCUUCGGUGCGGAAUAACGCCGGGAAACUGGCGCUAAUACCGCAUACGCCCUUUGGGGGAAAGAUUUAUCGCCGAGGGAUGGGCCCGCGCCCGAUUAGCUAGUUGGUGAGGUAACGGCUCACCAAGGCUGCGAUCGGUACCUGGUCUGAGAGGAUGAUCAGGCACACUGGGACUGAGACACGGCCCAGACUCCUACGGGAGGCAGCAGUGGGGAAUAUUGGACAAUGGGGGCAACCCUGAUCCAGCCAUGCCGCGUGGGUGAUGAAGGCCUUAGGGUUGUAAAGCCCUUUCACUGGCGAAGAUGAUGACGGUAGCCAGAGAAGAAGCCCCGGCUAACUCCGUG